GUACACGCUGUGACUAGCAUAUCAAUAAGCGGAGGAAAAGAAACUAACAAGGAUUCCCUCAGUAACGGCGAGUGAAGCGGGAAGAGCUCAAAUUUGAAAUCUUGAAAGGUCACCUUUCACGAAUUGUAGUUUAAAGAAGUGUUUUCUGUUACGAUCGUAAUAUAAGUUCUUUGGAAUAGGACAUCACAGAGGGUGAGAAUCCCGUCUAUGAUUGCGAUUUGUAGCUUUGUGAUACACUUUCAAAGAGUCGGGUUGUUUGGGAAUGCAGCCCAAAACGGGAGGUAAAUUUCUUCUAAGGCUAAAUAUUGGCGAGAGACCGAUAGCGAACAAGUACCGUGAGGGAAAGGUGAAAAGAACUUUGAAAAGAGAGUUAAAUAGUACGUGAAAUUGUCAAAAGGGAAGCGUUUAACACCAGUGUUGUUUUCUGAAAAUCAACCUCUGUUAGCUUUAUGCAUGUUUGUUUAGACCUAAUCAGCUAUCUUGCAUGUUCUAUUGUUUGCAGUGGUGCACUUUUCAGUUUACAGGUCAACAUCAGUUUUUUUUACCGUAAAAAAGUUAAAGAAAGGUAGCUCAUGGCUCCGGUCGUGAGUGUUAUAGUCUUUUUCCUAUGCGGUAGGAGAGACUGAGGUCUGCAGUGUAGGCUAUUUGGCUAGAUACUCAGGUGCUAUGUGAUACCAUUUCAUAAACAACUUGUUGAUUAUGUUUUGUCUAUUGCAUACUCGCUUGUACUAUCAUACCUACGCUUAGGAUGUUGAGUAGCGACAUACGCAC
RNAcentral lists this ribosomal RNA (771 nucleotides) under uncultured Neocallimastigales. RNAcentral describes it as "partial large subunit ribosomal RNA". It matches the Rfam family "Eukaryotic large subunit ribosomal RNA", at positions 22 to 646 of the family's 3401-position model. Lineage: Eukaryota; Fungi; Neocallimastigomycota; Neocallimastigomycetes; Neocallimastigales. The record is from RNAcentral.